CUCAGCUCUGCCACCAGGAGCUUCUGAUCUACACCCAACCAGUUUCCCUAGCCCAGCAACCAACAUGGUGAGGAGGUGAGUCAGCCUGACCUGGUCAAAUCCCAGCUUCACUACUUAGCAGAUGGAGGCUCCUGGGAGCUUCCCAAGCCAUCUGUAAGGAAGACCCAUGUUCCCAUAUCCCUCUGUGAAUGAGACCCUCAGAAUGUGCUGGAAAAUUCUGGAAGGCCCCUCAUCUCACAGCACUGCCUCUGCCUCAGGGAGGAUGAAGCAUUGCCCCGGUUCAUCACAAGUUCAAGUACUUGGCCACCUGGCCAGAGGCCAAGGGUGCAGCUCUCCGGGCUUCUUCCCCACCAGCUGUCUGAGGCUAGCUAGGAAAUAUCCACAACAAUGUCAAAGGGAACUCCUGGAUGAAAUGAGCCUUCCCAGCAUCCUCUGCAGCUAAGAUGUGAAACUGUGACCUUAGCCCCACCAAGGGGUUCCAUCUUUGGGAGAUUUCAUCUGUAGAAAAAACAAUGCAAAGUAACAGAUGCCAUUUUCAGGGAAAGGUAAAGAAUGAGGUGUCUAAUCUGCAGGGAGAGCAGUGGAGAGGUAUUGGCAUUCUUGACAACCAGCCCUGCCCCAGGUUGUGCAACAUCCAAGCCUGACUCUCCUCCCUCCUGAAGAUUCUGGAGCUAGUAAACAUUCUGUAACAAAUUCUUCUUCGAACCAGAAAGUAUUCCAGUUUUUGCAGCUAAGUCCCUGAUGGAUAGAGUAUGACCAACGAUUUAGGACUGAAGUAUGUGGCGC
This 786-nucleotide long non-coding RNA is filed under the name Fukomys damarensis (Damara mole-rat). RNAcentral describes it as "lncRNA (ENSFDAG00000030620.1)". The record is from RNAcentral. Lineage: Eukaryota; Metazoa; Chordata; Mammalia; Rodentia; Bathyergidae.